RNAcentral lists this long non-coding RNA (256 nucleotides) under Mytilus galloprovincialis (Mediterranean mussel). Lineage: Eukaryota; Metazoa; Mollusca; Bivalvia; Mytilida; Mytilidae. The record is from RNAcentral.
AAUACAUGGAUUCAGGAAUGGACAUUUAAUUUAUAUUCCACUUUUAGAUUGCCUUUUGCCUUCUAAAUCAGGAAACUGUAAUAGAACAUUUUUUCUGUGUUUAAGGAAUGAUUUUCUUUAAAUUGGCGCAAUCGUAUAUUUUAUAUUUGGCGCAAUUGAUACCAUGUAAGUUUUAAACAGGUGGCGCAAACGUAGCAUUAGAGAAAAAAAGUUGUGGCGCAAAAGGACGCAUUUUUGGCGCAAACGGAUCUCCCCC